RNAcentral lists this ribosomal RNA (515 nucleotides) under uncultured bacterium. RNAcentral's name for it is "partial 16S ribosomal RNA". It matches the Rfam family "Bacterial small subunit ribosomal RNA", at positions 28 to 523 of the family's 1533-position model. The record is from RNAcentral.
GAUGAACGCUGGCGGCGUGCCUAAUACAUGCAAGUCGAGCGAAUGGAUUAAGAGCUUGCUCUUAUGAAGUUAGCGGCGGACGGGCGAGUAACACGUGGGUAACCUGCCCAUAAGACUGGGAUAACUCCGGGAAACCGGGGCGAAUACCGGAUAAUAUUUUGAACUGCAUGGUUCAAAAUUGAAAGGAGGCUUCGGCUGUCACUUAUGGAUGGACCAGCGUCGCAUUAGCUAGUUGGUGAGGUAACGGCUCACCAAGGCAACGAUGCGUAGCCGACCUGAGAGGGUGAUCGGCCACACUGGGACUGAGACACGGCCCAGACUCCUACGGGAGGCAGCAGUAGGGAAUCUUCCGCAAUGGACGAAAGUCUGACGGAGCAACGCCGCGUGAGUGAUGAAGGCUUUCGGGUCGUAAAACUCUGUUGUUAGGGAAGAACAAGUGCUAGUUGAAUAAGCUGGCACCUUGACGGUACCUAACCAGAAAGCCACGGCUAACUACGUGCCAGCAGCCGCAGUAA